RNAcentral lists this non-coding RNA (46 nucleotides) under Schistosoma mansoni. The record is from RNAcentral. Lineage: Eukaryota; Metazoa; Platyhelminthes; Trematoda; Strigeidida; Schistosomatidae.
AUCCAGCUGACGAGCUCCAAAACAGGACGAAACACGCGUCCUGGAU